This is a non-coding RNA of Potamilus streckersoni, 73 nucleotides long. The record is from the annotation of a GenBank genome assembly. NCBI's taxonomy places the organism in Eukaryota, Metazoa, Mollusca, Bivalvia, Unionida, Unionidae.
GCUCUGGUGGUCUAGUAGUUAGUGCGUAUGCCUUGGAUGUGUGAGGUCACGUGUUCGAACCCCGGCCGAAUCA